Molecule: ribosomal RNA, 459 nt
Filed under: uncultured bacterium
Lineage: Bacteria
Description: partial 16S ribosomal RNA
Rfam family: Bacterial small subunit ribosomal RNA
Source: RNAcentral
CCUACGGGUGGCAGCAGUGAGGAAUAUUGGUCAAUGGGCGCGAGCCUGAACCAGCCAAGUCGCGUGAGGGAAGACGGUCCUAUGGAUUGUAAACCUCUUUUGUCGGGGAGCAAACGACGCCACGCGUGGCGUUCCGAGAGUACCCUAAGAACAAGCAUCGGCUAACUCCGUGCCAGUAGCCGCGGUAAUACGGAGGAUGCGAGCGUUAUCCGGAUUUAUUGGGUUUAAAGGGUGCGCAGGCGGAAGAUCAAGUCAGCGGUAAAAUUGUGAGGCUCAACCUCUGCGAGCCGUUGAAACUGGUAGUCUUGAGUGAGCGAGAGGUAGGCGGAAUGCGUGGUGUAGCGGUGAAAUGCAUAGAUAUCACGCAGAACUCCGAUUGCGAAGGCAGCAUACCGGCGCUCAACUGACGCUCAUGCACGAAAGUGUGGGUAUCGAACAGGAUUAGAUACCCGGGUAGUC